GACGAACGCUGGCGGCGUGCUUAACACAUGCAAGUCGAACGGUGAAGCGCCUUCCUUUUUGGUGGGUGUGGAUGAGUGGCGAACGGGUGAGUAACACGUGAGUAACCUGCCCCCUUCUUCUGGAUAACCGCAUGAAAGUGUGGCUAAUACGGGAUAUUCUGGGUCUGUCGCAUGAUGGGUCUGGGAAAGAUAUUGUUUCGGUGGGGGAUAGGCUCGCGGCCUAUCAGCUUGUUGGUGGGGUGAUGGCCUACCAAGGCGGUGACGGGUAGCCGGCCUGAGAGGGUGGACGGUCACACGGGGACUGAGACACGGCCCAGACUCCUACGGGAGGCAGCAGUGGGGAAUAGUGCACAAUGGGCGCAAGCCUGAUGCAGCGACGCCGCGUGAGGGAUGGAGGCCUUCGGGUUGUGAACCUCUUUCGCCAGUGAAGCAGGCCUGCCUCGUUUGUGGGUGGGUUGACGGUAGCUGGAGAAGAAGCGCCGGCUAACUACGUG
RNAcentral lists this ribosomal RNA (494 nucleotides) under uncultured bacterium. RNAcentral's name for it is "partial 16S ribosomal RNA". It matches the Rfam family "Bacterial small subunit ribosomal RNA", at positions 28 to 507 of the family's 1533-position model. The record is from RNAcentral.